GCGCCUAUCGCACGUCGCUGACCACGAUCGCUCUGCUGCUGUUCGGAAUUGCGAUGUGGGCGCUAGGCGCGGGCGUCGUGCCGCUGAUGCUGGCGUCGAUGGUCCCCUGGGGCAUGGCGUUUUCGUCGGCCAAUUCGAUGCAGCAGGUCCGGCUUGCCGCGGCGGCGCCACUGUUUGCCAGCGCCACGGUGUCGCUGAACACUUCGGGCCUUUAUAU
RNAcentral lists this unclassified non-coding RNA (217 nucleotides) under Hevea brasiliensis (rubber tree). Lineage: Eukaryota; Viridiplantae; Streptophyta; Magnoliopsida; Malpighiales; Euphorbiaceae. The record is from RNAcentral.